This 623-nucleotide ribosomal RNA is filed under the name uncultured bacterium. RNAcentral describes it as "partial 16S ribosomal RNA". The record is from RNAcentral.
ACGGGCGGUGUGUCAAGGCCCGGGAACGUAUUCACCGCGGCAUGCUGAUCCGCGAUUACUAGCAAUUCCGACUUCAUGCAGGCGAGUUGCAGCCUGCAAUCUGAACUGAGACGUUGUUUUUGAGUUUUGCUCCGCCUCGCGGCUUCGCUUCUCUUUGUUAAACGCCAUUGUAGUACGUGUGUAGCCCAGGUCAUAAAGGGCAUGAUGAUUUGACGUCAUCCCCACCUUCCUCCGUUUUGUCAACGGCAGUCUCGCCAGAGUCCUCUUGCGUAGUAACUGGCAAUAAGGGUUGCGCUCGUUGCGGGACUUAACCCAACAUCUCACGACACGAGCUGACGACAACCAUGCACCACCUGUCUCGAUGUCCCCGAAGGACUUCACAUAUCUCUAUGCUAUGCAUCGGAUGUCAAGACCUGGUAAGGUUCUUCGCGUUGCUUCGAAUUAAACCACAUACUCCACUGCUUGUGCGGGCCCCCGUCAAUUCCUUUGAGUUUCAACCUUGCGGUCGUACUCCCCAGGUGGAUUACUUAUUGUGUUAACUGCGGCACUGAAGGGGUCAAUCCUCCAACACCUAGUAAUCAUCGUUUACGGCAUGGACUACCAGGGUAUCUAAUCCUGUUUGA